Molecule: long non-coding RNA, 4884 nt
Organism: Bombus huntii
Lineage: Eukaryota; Metazoa; Arthropoda; Insecta; Hymenoptera; Apidae
Exons: 4
Source: RefSeq, a predicted model, not a curated record
AGUGGUCCCACCGAUCAACGCCAAACUAAGCGGAUUUCUCUUUCCGAUAUAGUUUCCUCGCGGCACGAACACCCAGAUUGUCCGUGCACCGGAGCGGAAUUUCGCAAUCUUGAUCGUUGUGUGCGCCAGCAAAAAGAGGAAUUUGUGAAUCGAGCAAACAGCGUGGAAAACACGGGCCUAUCGCGUUGGCGGGUCAUUCCAAGUCAGAGAACACGAGGCUGCUUGCAACUUCACCGAUAUACACGAAUGCAUAAUGGUAACCAGUGAACGCCCCUCGCUCCAGUCUUCAAUCCUGCGGAUCACUUGGGAACACCUACUCACGAUUCGCUGGAUCCCUCGGCGUUAUUAAAGAUACUCCGACCUCAUCGGCAUUCGUGCCUCGAUCCCACGAUCUUCUCUCCCCUUACAAAUCUCUUUCUACUUAAGUAGCGACCAAGUGCCGGAAGACGAGGUCGUUGAUGCUGCGUGGGCAGCGGAUUCACCGAAUAUUCAAACAGGACCUUAACCUUCCGCUUAGACCGUUAGGUAGAUGAGCGCGCGAAUCGUCGUGAAAGUAAAUUCGUGAAGUCAUAGCACGAGGAAGAGGAAAGUAGGCGUGAAAGGAGAUACGUGAAUGCGGAAGAAACCGCUAUCGAUCUGAGAUCGGUGCAAGACGUCAGAAAGGCAGCGGCAAUUCGCGCAUAAUCAAAGAGUCCGUAUGAAAGAAGCGUAUAAGGCGCUGCCGUUUCUCGAGAUGAUAGCAUUGUCGAAGCGAGAUGGCUACGAAACCAGUCGGCGGUCCAAGGAUAAUGGCGGCUGAGGAGUCGAGGAACUGAUAUCGGUGCAUUGGCCACGGUAAAUUCUCUUGGUAAUUGGCGAGCAGCGAGAGCUACAGCGAAGACAUCGAUGGAUAAUGCGGCGCGGCGAACGUAAUAGGCAACACGGCGCGGUUCAUGGCAUAACCUAUGUACGCCGUGGUAAAUUCUCUCGGUAAUUGCGAACAAGAGGCAGAGGGUGUGGGUGCUGAUGGAAUCCCGAGGGAAGGAUAAUGGCCGGAGAACGUUUCGCCGCGACACAAAGCGGCGAGUUUGCUGGUACUCGACCGGACAGAUCCGUUCUCCGCGUGUAUGCUAACAAACGGAAUUACAAGCCUGCGAUAUUACGAUAUCGGAUACCCUCGAGGAAUACUUUGUCCGAUGUGGAAUUCUAUCCUCGCUAAACUUCGCCCUCCCUGGUGUAAUACCGUGAAAAACAUCGAAACGUAUGGGCAUAAUAACCGCGACACGGCGGUCGUCGAUGAGAGUGAGAAGCAAUUUCCCGUGAAAUCGAUGGAUAAGUCGCGAGCCGCCGUUCAUGCCAGCACCGAUACGCGAUUUAUAUUAUAUUCCUAAACUUACCAUAAACACAGGACGCUAUGAUUGGCCGUAUAACGGACGACAAGCAUCACAAGCGAAUUCCUGUAAUAAUUGCGAGACAGAAGUGCAGUGCGGGUGCACUUGGAAUCCCGGAGAAAGGAUAAUAGCCGUGGAACGUGUCCAGUCGCGGUUUGUAUCGUAUUCCUUGAAUAUUGGACGAGCACGUACUACUCGAGCUAUCGGUUUUAAUACGCCGCGCGAACAUAAUUUAACCAUCCGACUGUCGGCGGAUAAAAUAUCGUCGACUGGCUUACACGAACGCUUGUAAUCCGGCCUUUUAAAGGAACAGUAUCGGCGAAUUAAAGUCGCGAAUACCUAUGUGAUCCGGUUAAAAGGGGGAUUCUGUUGGCGAAACGAUUUGUUCCCCGCGACAUACGUUCUAUCAGCGAAAUCGUCUCCUUCCUCGGGAAAUAUUGUAAUAAUUCGAACAAUCGUUCGGUAAAAAAGAACGCGAUGGCUGAUCUGGUUAAUGUCAGAGAAAAACAACUCGAAUUUCCGAUAAUUGGAACGAUCACCGAGUAGGUUUCUCUUUUACUCGGAAUUCUACAACCCGAAAGUCAUACGAAUUUUAGCGAAAUAAUUUGCAUUGCAGAAAAAGAUCAUUGUCUUCGGUUGGGAAAAAUUACUUGUAAAAAUUUGAAUCUAUAUUUUCAAAUGUUUAAACCUUCGAGGAGAUCGACUGGAGAUCUAGCACAAGGCGCAUAAAUAACUCGAAGCUGUAAUCGUGAACAAAGAAACGAUCACGACCUCCUAUCCCAAACGAUAAUGGAAAAGCUAGGGAACCGUGAGGUAAUUCAUACUCUUUUUUUACAAGAGUACCGACUCGAGAGGUUUCCUCAAGCCGCACCCUGCGCCACCCAAACGUAAUCUCGGUAAUAUUUCUAACCGAGCCCUUGACGCCGAGGUUGAGAUUGGGGGCGGAUAAAUUACGGGGCGUAAACUGCAUCCUGACAGUAAAUUACUCGAUAGCGGUAGACGAUACCGUGGAACGUGGCGCCUACGCGUGAAACUACAUCUACUUCCAUAAUCCUAGGACCCUUGAUCCGCAGGAUUCCUGCGAGAAUGUUACGAGGAUACCAUCGCGAUUCCUAUCUUUUGUCCGAUAAAUUUCCUUUUUUCUCGCGGUUCUGAGAAAUCUCGACGUCGAUCGACCGAGAAAGACGAUGGUUUAAUUGCCAGAAUAAUAUUAUAUUCUUAAUUUCUACGCAUAGGACGGAAUCUAUUUCAAUUUGUCCGUGACUGAAAGAGCGAGAACAAAUCGGAGAGAGAUUGAAUAAAUUUGAAUACUCGUAGCUGCAGGCACGUGGCUGCGCUCAGCUGUUUUCAUGGAUAACAUCUUCGUCAUCCCGCGUAGCGGUGUAUUUCUAGCGAGAAAAAAAUAUUGAAACCAUCGUCGAAGGUCGGAUUCCAGUGAAUCUCUGCGUUCUAUUAACGUGUUAUCGCCGCUGUAUCUUCGGGAAGUUACGAUAAAGGUUCGCUGGCGAAUGGCGCCAUUCAGCGACGUAUAAUCGUUAUACUCUCUCGUGUUGUUGCAACAAGAUGAUUCAAUCGUACGUUAAAUGUCGCCGAUGUUAACUUUUUUUUUUCAACUUUUCGAUAGCUUUUUAAGUAGCUCGUAAGAAAUGCGUCACGUCGUAAAUUAAGAUCUCAUAGACUUCCCUAGAGCGAACGUAGCUGAAUCGAACGUCACUCCUAUAAUUUUUACAAAAGCAUCGAUUUCCCAACCGGUAUAAUUAUAUAUCGCUCGCGGUAUCAAAGUUCACAGGCGGCUAGAACCAACGGCGGAUGUACGUUAGAGCGUGCGCGUUCCUUGUUAACCGAUGGGAAUAGAUUUCUGAUUCUAUCCACAGUCGCGGCGGGCGUCUCUUGUGCUAAGAGAGCACCGCCAGCAAACGAUUUCGCAAAUGGAUCGUUUCCACGGCGAGCCCAUCAACCGUGUUACCGAAAUCUACCACGGUUGUUAAUAUUUUCUUUUGUCUGCAUCUAAGUAAUCUUUGAAUCGAGUCGUUUCGUUCAUUUAAUAAUUCAGAUUAAUAAAUCGAAUCUCUUCUGAUACGAUCGUCACGGUUCACCGAGGCACGAUCGAUCGUCAGUUUUGCAAUAAAUUUGUUAGAGAUCGUUUGUUGUCGAUCGAUUCCCGUUUACUCGAGAAUCGACAGGAUUCACGUUCCGCCGAAGCUUUCGUUUCCCUCGCGAGAACGUAAGAAAAUGAUUUCGUUGUGAACAGACGAUUUGUUACGGCAAGUAAUUUUUGGCAAUCAGUAAACAGCAUUGUUACUUGUUACUCGAUUACAAGCGGUUUCUGUUGAUUGUCCGUUUCAACGAUCGACGGGGAGAAACUCUUGCAAUCGAGGUGCUGGUAGGUGGAUUUCGCAUGCGAAACAACCGUUUUGCGAAAUCCUGUUACGGUGGCCGCAGACUUCAACGGAGGCGCCUAGGUGAAUCGACGAAAAUUAACAACCGCGAAAUUGGAUUGAAUUUAUUAGUACCGGAUUACGACGAAAUAUUUCAAACAAUCAAAUUGGAAAUCUGCGAGUUGUCCUAAAUAAUUCUUAGUCAACUUGAUAUGCAAGAUCAAAAAAUGGAUAAAAGAAGAAAGUGUAAAGAAAUCCCAUUUGUGAAACUAAAAUGAUAUUUCCUUAAGAAAAUGUUCAAAAUAUUUAAAAAGGCAUCGAGUAUUCUCGGCAUCUCUCGAUAAGAACCGCUAACGAGUAGCAGAUUUUUCCCAAAGCAGUCCAAGCGAAUUAAACCAAACUGGCUAUUCGAGGAAGCAUUUUAGAACGUGUCACCGUAUUUGGGGUUCGAUCGAGAAGGGAACCGCCGUGAACGUCGAGAGAGAAAAAAGGAUCAUGCGCACCCUUGGGGCACGCCCUCAGAGAUCAAAAGCAUUUUGCUUGAUUUCCGCGUGUGCCAGUUAUUCAACGAUCCAAACAUUACGUAAACUGACAUUUUCGCGGCUAACUUAAACCAGUCAAAGAGUGCGCUGAUCGGUAUGCCAUCAACUAGGAAAGAAUUAUUAGCAGAAUUAAUCUUUUUGGAAACUUUCUUCACAGCGUUGUCAUUGAAUAACGAAUAUUUUAUCUCGUAGUGGAAAUAUUAAAUAAAUAAACAAGUAUACUUUAGAAAUAAAGUUUGUAUAUCAUAAUUCUAUAAAAAAAAUUGCGAAUGCAUAUUUGUUUUCAAGUUCUCUAGCAAAUUUUUUCCAAUAUUUUUAUUCUAAAUUUAUUUCGAAACCCAUUCCGAAACUAGUAAAAUAUCACUUGUGCAUUAUGUAACGUAAGCCGUAAGCUAUUCAAGAUAUUUAAAUACAAGUUUGUGUCGCGUUGCCGUUCACCACUUCGUCUACGAUCGGUUUUCCUCUUCGACCUUCGAGAGUGAUUUAAAGACGCUGGCGCGAAAUACGUUUCGCGCGAAUCGAAUUUCUGUAUGAACGAAAGCGCGAGCAUUACUUAGAGCCUCGCGAAAAAAUUGAGCACCGCAGUUCCAAACA